Molecule: non-coding RNA, 72 nt
Organism: Diabrotica virgifera virgifera (western corn rootworm)
Lineage: Eukaryota; Metazoa; Arthropoda; Insecta; Coleoptera; Chrysomelidae
Source: the annotation of a RefSeq genome assembly
GAGAGUAUAGCUCAGUGGUAGAGCGCUCGACCGGCGAUCGAGAGGUCCUCGGUUCAAAUCCAUGUGUUAUCU